AGAGAAAGAGGGAGGCAGGCCUAACACAUGCAAGUCGAACGAACCUUUCGGGACUAGUUGCGCACGGGUGUGUAACACGUGGGAACGUGCCUUUAGGUUCGGAAUAACUCAGGUAAACUGGUGCUAAUACCGGAUGAUCUCUUCGGAGAAAAGAUUUAUCGCCUUUAGAGCGGCCCGCGUUCGAUUAGCUAGUUGGUGGAGGAAAUGCCUCACCAGGGUGACGAUCAUUACCUGGGAUGGGAGAGUGAGCGCCCACAGUGGUACUUAGACACGGCCCAAACUACUACGGGAGGCAGCAGUGGGGAAUCUUGCGAAAUGGGGGAGAGGAUGAAGGAGCCAUGCCGGGUGAAUGAUGAAGGUCUUAGAAUUGUAAAAUUCUUUCACCGGGGACGGUAAUGACGGUACCCAGAGAAGAAGCCCCGGCUAACUUCGUG
This 434-nucleotide ribosomal RNA is filed under the name uncultured bacterium. Its description in RNAcentral is "partial 16S ribosomal RNA". It matches the Rfam family "Bacterial small subunit ribosomal RNA", at positions 31 to 507 of the family's 1533-position model. The record is from RNAcentral.